This 496-nucleotide ribosomal RNA is filed under the name uncultured bacterium. RNAcentral describes it as "partial 16S ribosomal RNA". It matches the Rfam family "Bacterial small subunit ribosomal RNA", at positions 28 to 507 of the family's 1533-position model. The record is from RNAcentral.
GAUGAACGCUGGCGGCGUGCCUAAUACAUGCCAGUCGAGCGAACGGACGAGAAGCUUGCUUCUCUGAUGUUAGCGGCGGACGGGUGAGUAACACGUGGAUAACCUACCUAUAAGACUGGGAUAACUUCGGGAAACCGGAGCUAAUACCGGAUAAUAUUUUGAACCGCAUGGUUCAAAAGUGAAAGACGGUCUUGCUGUCACUUAUAGAUGGAUCCGCGCUGCAUUAGCUAGUUGGUAAGGUAACGGCUUACCAAGGCAACGAUGCAUAGCCGACCUGAGAGGGUGAUCGGCCACACUGGAACUGAGACACGGUCCAGACUCCUACGGGAGGCAGCAGUAGGGAAUCUUCCGCAAUGGGCGAAAGCCUGACGGAGCAACGCCGCGUGAGUGAUGAAGGUCUUCGGAUCGUAAAACUCUGUUAUUAGGGAAGAACAUAUGUGUAAGUAACUGUGCACAUCUUGACGGUACCUAAUCAGAAAGCCACGGCUACUACGUG